RNAcentral lists this ribosomal RNA (564 nucleotides) under uncultured Caulobacter sp. Its description in RNAcentral is "bacterial SSU rRNA". It matches the Rfam family "Bacterial small subunit ribosomal RNA", at positions 335 to 916 of the family's 1533-position model. The record is from RNAcentral. Lineage: Bacteria; Pseudomonadati; Pseudomonadota; Alphaproteobacteria; Caulobacterales; Caulobacteraceae.
ACUCCUACGGGAGGCAGCAGUGGGGAAUAUUGGACAAUGGGCGAAAGCCUGAUCCAGCAAUGCCGCGUGAGUGAUGAAGGCCUUAGGGUUGUAAAGCUCUUUUACCCGGGAUGAUAAUGACRGUACCGGGAGAAUAAGCUCCGGCUAACUCCGUGCCAGCAGCCGCGGUAAUACGGAGGGAGCUAGCGUUGUUCGGAAUUACUGGGCGUAAAGCGCACGUAGGCGGCUUUGUAAGUCAGAGGUGAAAGCCUGGAGCUCAACUCCAGAACUGCCUUUGAGACUGCAUCGCUUGAAUCCAGGAGAGGUGAGUGGAAUUCCGAGUGUAGAGGUGAAAUUCGUAGAUAUUCGGAAGAACACCAGUGGCGAAGGCGGCUCACUGGACKGGUAUUGACGCUGAGGUGCRAAAGCGUGGGGAGCAAACRGGAUUAGAUACCCUGGUAGUCCACGCCGUAAACGAUGAURACUAGCUGUCCGGGCACUUGGUGCUUGGGUGGCGCAGCUAACGCAKUAAGUUAUCCGCCUGGGGAGUACGGUCGCAAGAUUAARACUCAAAGGAAUUGACGG